Molecule: long non-coding RNA, 304 nt
Filed under: Setaria viridis
Lineage: Eukaryota; Viridiplantae; Streptophyta; Magnoliopsida; Poales; Poaceae
Description: long non-coding RNA (SVIR_LNC003798)
Source: RNAcentral
UGUGUUAGGGAGGAACAAGAAAACAUGUAGGGGUUAUGGGGAAGAUUCUAGGGACCUUUGUACGAAGAAUCUUUAGAUCUGAGGGUUAUUUUGCAAGUCGACCUCGGUUUUGAUUUAUUUCCUAGAUUUAAAUAGCUGCAAACUUGGAAAAUGCAUAGAAAUGUGUAGAAAAAUGAUAAAAAUGUGAAUCUUGUUUUGUUGAGUUCCUGAUGACAUCUAGUUUAUUUCAGAAUUGUUUUUGUGUAUGUUACUAUCUUGUAUCUAGUGCUAUGAUUUAUUUUAUCUAAAAGACAUUAAAUGCUUU